This 493-nucleotide ribosomal RNA is filed under the name bacterium A3T_VP7_C6. RNAcentral's name for it is "bacterial SSU rRNA". It matches the Rfam family "Bacterial small subunit ribosomal RNA", at positions 337 to 822 of the family's 1533-position model. The record is from RNAcentral.
UCCUAAAGGAGGCAGCAGUAGGGAAUCUUCCGCAAUGGACGAAAGUCUGACGGAGCAACGCCGCGUGAACGAUGAAGGCCUUCGGGUCGUAAAGUUCUGUUGUUAGGGAAGAACAAGUACCAGAGUAACUGCUGGUACCUUGACGGUACCUAACCAGAAAGCCACGGCUAACUACGUGCCAGCAGCCGCGGUAAUACGUAGGUGGCAAGCGUUGUCCGGAAUUAUUGGGCGUAAAGCGCGCGCAGGUGGUUUCUUAAGUCUGAUGUGAAAGCCCACGGCUCAACCGUGGAGGGUCAUUGGAAACUGGGGAACUUGAGUGCAGAAGAAGAAAGUGGAAUUCCAAGUGUAGCGGUGAAAUGCGUAGAGAUUUGGAGGAACACCAGUGGCGAAGGCGACUUUCUGGUCUGUAACUGACACUGAAGCGCGAAAGCGUGGGGAGCGAACAGGAUUAGAUACCCUGGUAGUCCCCGCCGUAAACGAUGAGUGCUAAGUG